This 419-nucleotide ribosomal RNA is filed under the name uncultured eukaryote. RNAcentral's name for it is "SSU rRNA". It matches the Rfam family "Eukaryotic small subunit ribosomal RNA", at positions 128 to 549 of the family's 1831-position model. The record is from RNAcentral.
AUAUCUACUACUCGGAUAACCGUGGUAAUUCUAGAGCUAAUACGUGCGUAAAAACCCGACUCACGAAGGGUUGUAUUUAUUAGAUACAAAACCAAUGCAGCGCAAGCUGGUUUUUUGGUGAUUCAUAAUAACUUCUCGGAUCGCAUGGCUCACGCCGGCGACGUUUCAUUCAAAUUUCUGCCCUAUCAACUUUCGAUGGUAAGGUAUUGGCUUACCAUGGUUACAACGGGUAACGGAGAAUUAGGGUUCGAUUCCGGAGAGGGAGCCUGAGAAACGGCUACCACUUCCAAGGAAGGCAGCAGGUGCGCAAAUUACCCAAUCCUGACACAGGGAGGUAGUGACAAAAAAUAACAAUACAGGACUUUUAAAGCCUUGUAAUUGGAAUGAGUACAAUUUAAACCCCUUAACGAGUAACAAUU